Molecule: long non-coding RNA, 353 nt
Filed under: Astyanax mexicanus (Mexican tetra)
Lineage: Eukaryota; Metazoa; Chordata; Actinopteri; Characiformes; Acestrorhamphidae
Description: lncRNA (ENSAMXG00005014340.1)
Source: RNAcentral
UCCUCAGCCCUGCUUCACUGUAACUUUAGUCACAGACAGACGGCUGUGGGGUCAGACAGGUAGGGCUUGUUCUCGUGGGAAAACAGAGCAAACCGGCCGAGAUCAGACAUAAAGAACCGAGUGAGAAGCUCCAGAGAUCAGCUAUGAGUUCUCUUCCACCAUCCAGGAGGUCUUCAGGAGUCCUUCGUGUAAGCUUUGAUUCCACUGUGAACAAGAACCCAAGUUAUGAGCGCAAGGAAUUGGAAAGACACACUGAAGAUCUACAUCUGGAAGAACCGCCGCAGCACCUCAACAGUACAACUACUCCGUGUAUACUGGUAUUUCAAAUUUCAAACAAAAAAGGAAAAACAUAC